Molecule: ribosomal RNA, 253 nt
Filed under: uncultured bacterium
Lineage: Bacteria
Description: partial 16S ribosomal RNA
Rfam family: Bacterial small subunit ribosomal RNA
Source: RNAcentral
UACGUAGGGUGCGAGCGUUAAUCGGAAUUACUGGGCGUAAAGCGUGCGCAGGCGGUUUUGUAAGCCAGAUGUGAAAUCCCCGGGCUUAACCUGGGAAUGGCAUUUGGGACUGCAAGGCUCGAGUGCGGCAGAGGAGACUGGAAUUCCUGGUGUAGCAGUGAAAUGCGUAGAUAUCAGGAGGAACACCAAUGGCGAAGGCAGCUCGCUGGGACGGUAUUGACGCUGAGACGCGAAAGCGUGGGGAGCAAACAGG